CCAAACCAAAAUGCAUGCCUGCGACAAGCUUGCCGCAAGCUUGUCACAAGCUUGCCGCAAGCUUACAGCUUAAAUACAUGGUUGCUGCAUGCUUGCAACAAGCUUGCGCAAGCUUGCGAUGACUUUUGAAAUAUAUUGCAAGCUUGUUUAAAAUUCAUGCAAGCUUGCAAACAUUUGAUGUAAGCUUGCAAUGCCGCAAGCUUGCAAUUAGUAGACACUUAGAAAAUUUUUGUACAAAUCUACACUUAGAAAUUUCUUGUUAAAGUAAUUGAAACACUUAGAAAUUUUUUGUCAAAAGUGUACACAUUAAAAUAAAAAUUCCAAAAAUGAUAGUAUCAGUGAUAAUUAACUAGUUUAAACUAGAUUACCACGCUAAAGUUUAUUAUUAGUUAUUUUAUAUAUUCAGCUCAGUAUUGUAAAUUUACGAAGAAAAUAUAAAAUCAUCAUCUAUUUUAAUGCAAGCUACUGUAAAUGAUUUGAAAUUUGACACUUUAUACAUUUCAUGUAGUUGGAAAAGGGUAUCUCAGAAAAAAUGUCUAUGCAAAAGAAGUAAAUGAAUUGAUUGUUAAAUACAUAUUAUUAUUUCAAUAAAUCUACAUGAAGUUAUGUACAAUGAAAUAAUAUCCAUUUAAUUACAGGCUUUAAGUUUAACUAUAAAUUAAUUAAAGUCUGUGAUUCAAUCAUUCAGACACUAUAAUAAUCAAGAUGGGAUUGCAUUGCUUGCCAUUUUUAAAUUCUAAGAAUUCAUGUUUUUGGAUAACAAUAAAUAAAUAAAUAAACAAAACAAAAACAGUGCAUGAAAUAAUCUCAUAUAUAUUCUAUAUUAAAUUAAUCAAUAUAUAUUGCUUUUAUUUAGGAAAAUAAAUACUACAUCCACUGAGAUUUUACGCCACACACAUCAGAGCCUUGAUAAAAUUCAUUGACCAUCUGUGCAUGACUAAUUUACUCCCUGGUCAUUCCGACAGAUCAGGCUGUUCCAUUUGAUUAUUUUGGGGAGAGAUAACAUUAUAAAUUUCAUAUGCAGAAUGUGUCUAGAAGGACAUUGCAAUCUUUUUGUACAAAAAAUUUGUUAAUGAUUUUUAAAAUCUAUAUAUCUAUUAGCUAUUUGAUAUUUUCUUUUACUGCUCAAAGAAUGAAAGUUAAAAUGAUGAGUAGAUUAACCCUGCUUUACAUAAUGAUAGACCUGUCCAGUUUUACAGUAACUGUUGUAAAAUUUGAAUUCUAAGAUAUCUGGGUCAGCAAAGAGAGCAGAGGAUGUACUUGAUAUUUUAGCAGUUUUGGAGAUAUUGUUUUUAACAUUUAAAGUGUUUAAGUAUUGGUAUGAUUACAAUCAGAAUCACCUGGGACAAGGAGAUAUACAACAGAAUCAGGCUGGGACAUAAGUGCUGACUGUGAGAAAUAGCGGCAGUGUUUAAUAAUGAUGUGCAGUAUUAAUCCUGAAAAGGUCAGCACAACCAUAAGAAGUUCUAGGAAACACUGGCAGAGGACUAAAAAUUGACACCGAUAAAAGAAAUAGUAAUUUAAAUAAUCAGAAACAUAUUUAAGAUUGAAUAGUUUGUCACUGACAGACUAAGAGCAAAAUAAUUGCUUAAAACAAAGUGUUGGAUUCUAAGAAAACAAGAACCUACCAAAACCUGCAGCUAGAAAAAAAACUGUUUGUGUUAUAGUGAAUGUAGGCUGUUCUAUUCUGUAUUUGGACUAAAGGAUAUGUAUUAAAUUUUGUGAAAGAAAUAUGUGAUCAUGUUAAACUCAUAAAAAUUCUACCCCAAACAUUCCUGUGCUGAAUUCCAUCCCAGAAUUUUACAUUUUAAGAACAUUCAGGGAUGCUGGAAUUAGGCUGGAUUUUUUCAAUGUCAUCCCAUGAAGGC
This is a long non-coding RNA of Ruditapes philippinarum (Manila clam), 1868 nucleotides long. RefSeq lists it as uncharacterized. NCBI's taxonomy places the organism in Eukaryota, Metazoa, Mollusca, Bivalvia, Venerida, Veneridae. The record is from RefSeq and is a predicted model, not a curated record. The transcript has 3 exons.